CACCCAGCCAUUUCCUACAAUCGCCCAUUAAUUUAAUUACUGAACUUGCAGCUGAUAGCUCCACUGAUUAUAGCCAGCCAAUAGCGUGUAGACUUGUUGUCUCACCACCUGUGACGUCAGCAAGACUGUAAAAGCUUGCGCUGCCCCAAAAUCUUGGUCCUCUACCAUCUGACCCGUACAUGUACGAUGUGCCCUCUCUGGCCCUUCUGGCACAAGUGUGACUCUUCUGUUGUAAAUUCUAUAACUUUCCAAAUUCAACUUAAUACAAACUUUUCGGCCCUUCAAACAUUUCUUAUUCUUUGCUCUCCCACAAUCUCAGUGCGCAUAUGAAGGUUGUUUAGACGUUUCAGUCCGUCUAAAAUAAUAGUCAUACCCUUCAUCGCGACAGGCGGUUAGUGUCUAUGAAUCAAAUCGCCUUCACUUACGUGCGUGUGCAACACAGACGUCCUUGGAGCCCGAAUAGUUGCAUUCAGGCGUCAUAAUGAAUUUCGUAAAGCAUGCUCUACUAAGUUUUACGUCGUAAACAGCUCAAGUAGCAGUCAAUUGCAAAAUAUUUUCGGGGUGAUUUUUUCAUGGAAAGUGUUGAAAUGGACUAUUGAGAGAAAGAAACCAAGUGAUAUCAAAUUAUAACAUCAAAAAAGCGGUUUAAGUUUCUUCUUCUAACAAAUUCAUUAGCCCUCGGUUGAACUAGGCGUAGAGUGUGCUGUCGUUGAAUUUGACGUCGAAAGCUCCGUCGUCGCAGAACUGAACCCUGUUGACGAAGAAUCUGACGCGGAGAUUUCUGAUGACGUGGAACUAGACGCAGAUGACGUGGACGUUGAUGUUGAAAUGGAGUCUGUUGAAUCCGAUAGGAGUGCGUCUGGCUUGGGGUAGAAGUCGAGAUGGAGGGUCGUGUAUCCACCGAGUUUGCACUCUCGGUCGUUGAGGUAGUGAAGCGCCAGGUCACCGGUCAGUUUGAAGGCCCGCCCCCAAACUAUACCCUGUAACAGAAAGAAAACCAACCUAUGAGCUUUUAAGAAAGAAAGACAAAGAGGCUGAAAAAGGCAUGUAUCACCGGCGGAUUCAGAGGGGACGUAGGGAACGUUUGCCCCCCCCCCUCCCGUUCGCCCGAAAAAAGGAGGAAAAAAACGGGAGGAAAGAAGAAGGAAGGCUGUAUCUAUUCGAUAAUUAUCCAUGACAAAAUUAAUUCAAACUGCAAAUAGAUUUUUUGAAAUUUUGAAAAUA
Bemisia tabaci is the source of this 1224-nucleotide non-coding RNA. The record is from RefSeq and is a predicted model, not a curated record. NCBI's taxonomy places the organism in Eukaryota, Metazoa, Arthropoda, Insecta, Hemiptera, Aleyrodidae.